Molecule: ribosomal RNA, 757 nt
Filed under: Bacillus subtilis
Lineage: Bacteria; Bacillati; Bacillota; Bacilli; Caryophanales; Bacillaceae
Description: bacterial SSU rRNA
Rfam family: Bacterial small subunit ribosomal RNA
Source: RNAcentral
UGCAGUCGAGCGGACAGAUGGGAGCUUGCUCCCUGAUGUUAGCGGCGGACGGGUGAGUAGCACGUGGGUAACCUGCCUGUAGGACUGGGAUAACUCCGGGAAACCGGGGCUAAUACCGGAUGGUUGUUUGAACCGCAUGGUUCAAACAUAAAAGGUGGCUUCGGCUACCACUUACAGAUGGACCCGCGGCGCAUUAGCUAGUUGGUGAGGUAACGGCUCACCAAGGCAACGAUGCGUAGCCGACCUGAGAGGGUGAUCGGCCACACUGGGACUGAAACCCGGCCCAAACUCCUACGGGAGGCAGCAGUAGGGAGUCUUCCGCAAUGGACGAAAGUCUGACGGAGCAACGCCGCGUGAGUGAUGAAGGUUUUCGGAUCGUAAAGCUCUGUUGUUAGGGAAGAACAAGUACCGUUCGAAUAGGGCGGUACCUUGACGGUACCUAACCAAAAAGCCACGGCUAACUACGUGCCAGCAGCCGCGGUAAUACGUAGGUGGCAAGCGUUGUCCGGAAUUAUUGGGCGUAAAGGGCUCGCAGGCGGUUUCUUAAGUCUGAUGUGAAAGCCCCCGGCUCAACCGGGGAGGGUCAUUGGAAACUGGGGAACUUGAGUGCAGAAGAGGAGAGUGGAAUUCCACGUGUAGCGGUGAAAUGCGUAGAGAUGUGUGAGGAACACCAGUGGCGAAGGCUGACUCUCUGGUCUGUAACUGACGCUGAGGAGCGAAAAGCGUGGAGGAGCGAACAGUGAUUAGAUACCCCUGG